UGGGUAACCUGCCUCAAAGAGGGGAAUAGCCUCCCGAAAGGGAGAUUAAUACCGCAUAAUAUGUUUAAGUCGCAUGACUUUAACAUCAAAGGAUUUUCUUCGGAACUUCCACUUUGAGAUGGACCCGCGGCGCAUUAGCUAGUUGGUGAGGUAACGGCUCACCAAGGCAACGAUGCGUAGCCGACCUGAGAGGGUGAUCGGCCACAUUGGAACUGAGACACGGUCCAGACUCCGUAGGGAGG
This 242-nucleotide ribosomal RNA is filed under the name uncultured bacterium. RNAcentral's name for it is "partial 16S ribosomal RNA". It matches the Rfam family "Bacterial small subunit ribosomal RNA", at positions 118 to 348 of the family's 1533-position model. The record is from RNAcentral.